This is an RNA transcript of Helianthus annuus (common sunflower), 1598 nucleotides long. It is a transcript of the gene named E3 ubiquitin-protein ligase RHF2A, with no coding region annotated. Lineage: Eukaryota; Viridiplantae; Streptophyta; Magnoliopsida; Asterales; Asteraceae. The record is from RefSeq and is a predicted model, not a curated record. The transcript is spliced from 9 exons.
ACUUCAUGAAUUUUCCAUCUCUCCACUCAUCAAACCCUCUUCUGACGCUAUCUUCCCUCCGUUUCUUCCAUCAAACUUUGAUGCUUUCCGCUUUCCACAACUCUUGGUAGAUCAAGAAAACCAUCAAUUUUCAUCUUUUUCUUUCAAUCCACAUUUUUUAGGGUUCUUGAUCACAAUCUUUGCAACAUUCUACCAAUUCCCAUAUAGGUUCCAAAAAUGGAAGAUGGAAAGAAUGAGAAUCAUCUGAUUUCACCUGCUGCUUUUGUGGAAGGAGGGUUACAAGAAGCUUGUGAGGAUUCUUGUAGCAUUUGCCUUGAAGAUUUUUGUGAUAAUGAUCCAAAAACGGUUACUUGCUGCAGGCAUGAGUUUCAUAUUCAAUGCAUUCUUGAAUGGAGUCAAAGAAGCUCUAGUUGUCCUAUAUGUUGUCAAGCGGUUAGCUUGAAAGAUCCAUCCAGUCAAGAGCUACUGGAGGCUGUAGCGCGAGAGAGACAUGUGAGAUAUAACCCAACAAGAACUUCCGCGAUAUUUCAUCAUCCGACUCUUGGUGAUUUCGAAAUUCGAAACUUGCCGGUUGGCUUUAGUGGUAGUGAACUUGAGGACCGAAUCGUUCAACAUCUGGCCGCAACCGCAGCUGCCAUGGGGAGUGCCCACCACGUGGGCCCAAGGAACCGCGUGUCGAUCGGUCACAACCAAUAUGGUGCCAUCAUGUCGGUUACUGGCGGUUUGGUUCAAGAGCAAGCUGAACCAGUUGCUGAACCGGCUGCUGUUGACUCUGCUAGUGGGGGUGGCACGGUUCAACAUUUAACCACAUCUGGAAUGGUGAACGGGUCAAAUAGUCAACAUGGGACCUCGGUUAUUCAUAGAAGCUCGAGCGGUCUAUCUUCUGGGCCUGAUCAGGUUAACGCAGGGCCAUCAGAAAUAAACGGAGCUUCAGAUACAUGGAAAUCGAGAUUUAACGCAUUUUCAACAAGAUAUAAAGAAUCAUUUUCGAAGAGUACACGAGGGUGGAAAGAUAAACUUUUUAACAAAGGUCCUCCAUCCACGUCAAAUAUCGGUUCAGAAGUACGGAGAGAAGUUAAUACGGGUAUCGGUAACAUUUCUCGCAUGAUCGAACGCCUUGAUGUGAGAGAAAACAAUAGACAAAAUGAUAAUCAUCAGGUUUCAGAUGCUAGAGAGAGUAAUCAUAAUCGAGUUGAGACAGCUGGCGUGAGCGGUGCAAGCUAGCGUGUUUUGCUAAUGUUUGAGCAAUAAAAUCUUCUGCUGGCAGUUACAUUUAAAGGCUUAAUGGAUGAUCUACACUACACAAGAAGAUGAAUUUUGUCACAAAAUUUAAAUGUUAUAAAGUUGGUGAUCAUGGAUGAGUUGGUGUCCGGAAAAUAGGGGGAACAGGUGAGUAUUGUGAUGGUGCCAACGUGGCACAACGGAGCAAUGUGAUUGGUCCCAUGUAUACCCCAGCAGCACCGUUGGAUUGAGCUGUCUUAAGAUGGGUUGGUUGUAUGUUUUCAUGUUGAUCAACGGCUUACAAUUGACGGUUAUAAUGGAAUAUUUGAAAGUGUUAUAUGGGGGUUGGUGGUAUGUAUGUCAUAUUAUAUUAUUAU